AUUGAACGCUGGCGGCAGGCCUAACACAUGCAAGUCGAGCGGAGCGGCGGACGGGCGAGUAAUGCCUGGGAAUCUGCCUGGUAGUGGGGGAUAACGUCCGGAAACGGGCGCUAAUACCGCAUACCAUCAGAUGAGCUUCGGUCGGAUUGGCUAGUUGGUGGGGUAAAGGCCUACCAAGGCGACGACCCGUAAUUGGUCUGAGAGGAUGAUCAGUCACACUGGAACGGAGACCCGGUCCAGACUCCUACGGAAGGCGACAGUGGGGAAGCUUGGACAAUGGGCGAAAGCCUGAUCCAGCCAUGCCGCGUGGGUGAAGAAGGUCUUCGGAUUGUAAAGCACUUUAAGUUGGGAGGCGUUACCAACAGAAUAAGCACCGGCUAACUUCGUGCCAGCAGCCGCGGUAAUAC
RNAcentral lists this ribosomal RNA (407 nucleotides) under uncultured bacterium. RNAcentral's name for it is "partial 16S ribosomal RNA". It matches the Rfam family "Bacterial small subunit ribosomal RNA", at positions 30 to 526 of the family's 1533-position model. The record is from RNAcentral.